ACGCCCUAAACGAUGUAUACUGGUUGUUGCUAUGCUAGUCAUGGCAGUAAUCCACCUAACGGAUUAAGUAUACCGCCUGGGGAGUACGGUCGCAAGAUUAAAACUCAAAGGAAUAGACGGGGACCCGCACAAGCGGUGGAGCAUGUGGUUUAAUUCGAAGAUACGCGAAGAACCUUACCCGGACUUGAUAUCUAACAAAUCAUCUAGAGAUAGAAGAGUGUCUGCUUGCAGAAAUGUUAAGACAGGUGCUGCACGGCUGUCGUCAGCUCGUGUCGUGAGAUGUUGGGUUAAGUCCCGCAACGAGCGCAACCCACGUCAUUAGUUGCUAACAGUUCGGCUGAGCACUCUAAUGAGACUGCCUUCGUAAGGAGGAGGAAGGUGUGGACGACGUCAAGUCAUCAUGGCCCUUAUGUCCGGGGCGACACACGUGCUACAAUGGCAUAUACAAUAAGACGCAAUAUCGUAAGAUGGAGCAAAUCUAAAAAAUAUGUCCCAGUUCGGAUUGGAGUCUGCAACUCGACUCCAUGAAGCCGGAAUCGCUAGUAAUCGUAGAUCAGCCAUGCUACGGUGAAUACGUUCCCGGGUCUUGUACUCACCGCCCGUCACACCAUGGGAGUUGAUUUCACUCGAAGCCGGAAUACUAAAUUAGUUACCGUCCACAGUGGAAUCAGCGACUGGGGUGAAGUCGUAACAAGGUAACCGUAGGAGAACCUGCGGUUG
Molecule: ribosomal RNA, 720 nt
Filed under: metagenome
Description: bacterial SSU rRNA
Rfam family: Bacterial small subunit ribosomal RNA
Source: RNAcentral